This 253-nucleotide ribosomal RNA is filed under the name uncultured bacterium. RNAcentral's name for it is "partial 16S ribosomal RNA". It matches the Rfam family "Bacterial small subunit ribosomal RNA", at positions 524 to 776 of the family's 1533-position model. The record is from RNAcentral.
UACGGGGGGGGCAAGCGUUGUUCGGAAUUACUGGGCGUAAAGGGUUCGUAGGUGGCCAACUAAGUCAGACGUGAAAUCCCUCAGCUUAACUGGGGAACUGCGUCUGAUACUGGUUGGCUUGAGUGCAGGAGAGGAAUGCGGAAUUCCAGGUGUAGCGGUGAAAUGCGUAGAUAUCUGGAGGAACACCGGUGGCGAAGGCGGCAUUCUGGACCGCAACUGACACUGAAGAACGAAAGCCAGGGGAGCAAACGGG